Molecule: long non-coding RNA, 1073 nt
Organism: Pyrus x bretschneideri (Chinese white pear)
Lineage: Eukaryota; Viridiplantae; Streptophyta; Magnoliopsida; Rosales; Rosaceae
Exons: 3
Source: RefSeq, a predicted model, not a curated record
UGCUUCCAAUUCCAUCUUGUGCUUUCUUCCCCUCCCAACAAUGAAAGCCCUCACUUAAAACUUAAUCACUUUCUCUAAAACCAACUCUCAAAAGUCUACAUCUUUAAACCCUUUUUCUUUCCAGAGAAUCCAAGCGAAAGCAAAAGCAUCGCGAUUAACUCACAAAGCGAAAGGCUGGAGAGGUGGACGACCGUGGUGGCCACUGCACUGCUGCCUAUUUCCUCUUGACUGCUGAUUACGGCUCCGAGCCCAACGCUCUUGACCCUUUCAUUGAUGUCGAAACGAUUGUUUCUCCAACAACUUUUGCCCGGCGUAGUUUGUCUUAUCUCAUGAGUGACAAGCUCUCAACGAUGCAAUGCAGGCACAAGUAGUUUCCCCAGUUUGGAAACUCUCAAAGACAAGGCGGGAUUCUGCUUUUAAUCACAAGGACUUUCGAACCACAUUCAUUGGUUUGGAACAAUGGUUUCUCCAACAAUUUUUGCCCCGCGUAGUUUGUCUUAUCUCAUGAGUGACAAGCCUCAGGAAGCUAUAAACGAUGCAAUGCAAGCACAAGUAGUUUCCCCAGUUUGGCACUUGCAUGUUAUCUUCAGGCUGUUGCCCCUUCGGCCCUUGGAAUGGAUGGUGAAGCUCAAGCAGCACUUACGGAGGGUACUAUGCUUGAAUCCUAAAGGAGCAAAGCAGCUGGACAGAAGUGAAAAUCUAGGCUGGUCAACAAGGUGCCUAGUUUGCCACUUCUCUCGGUUUGGCUCUCAGCUUAUAUAGUCGUUGAUCAUAAGGUUUAAAACCACUGGAGCCAAAGCUUCAUCAUUUCCACGGUAUUAGAUUUUGUCAUCUUCCAGCAGUAUAUGUUGUAUUUGAAUUGUUUUAUUUGAUUUGAUUUCCUGUGCAUCAAAUGAUUCGAGUAUAUGAGUUACUUUGACAAAAUAGAAAGAAAAAUAGAAAGUUGUAAAAAACACUGGUAGGGAGGAUGUCAUUCAGAAGCUUGUAAUUUGUGUGUAGAAAGCAUAUAGGAUUCCUGGUGUAUUAUUUAUGAUGAAUUUUAAUAAUAAUUAGUUUGUUAAAUGUUGUCUGAU